UAUGGCAGACUAAGUGCAGUGGAUUUAAAAUCCUAACAUAAAGACUCUAAUUCUUUUUAUUAA
Molecule: transfer RNA, 63 nt
Filed under: Temnothorax gordiagini
Lineage: Eukaryota; Metazoa; Arthropoda; Insecta; Hymenoptera; Formicidae
Description: tRNA-Leu
Source: RNAcentral